GCUACGGGAGGCAGCAGUGGGGAAUAUUGCACAAUGGGGGAAACCCUGAUGCAGCGACGCCGCGUGAGUGAAGAAGUAUCUCGGUAUGUACAGCUCUAUCAGCAGGGAAGAAAAUGACGGUACCUUACUGAUAAGCCCCGUCUAACUAAGUGCCAGCAGCCGCGAUAAUACGUCGGGGGGACGCGUUAUCCUGAUUUACUGUGUGGAAAGGGAGCGUAGACGGCGCUGCAAGUCCGGAGUGAAAGCCCAUGUCUUAACCAUGGGACUGAUCUGGAAACAGUGGAGCUGGAGUGCGGGAGGGGAAGGCGGAAUUCCUAGUGUAGCGGUGAAAU
This 332-nucleotide ribosomal RNA is filed under the name uncultured bacterium. Its description in RNAcentral is "partial 16S ribosomal RNA". It matches the Rfam family "Bacterial small subunit ribosomal RNA", at positions 338 to 687 of the family's 1533-position model. The record is from RNAcentral.